Molecule: non-coding RNA, 25 nt
Filed under: Mus musculus (house mouse)
Lineage: Eukaryota; Metazoa; Chordata; Mammalia; Rodentia; Muridae
Source: RNAcentral
UAGUUCCAAUUAGGGAGUUCUGCUC